Molecule: ribosomal RNA, 467 nt
Filed under: uncultured bacterium
Lineage: Bacteria
Description: partial 16S ribosomal RNA
Rfam family: Bacterial small subunit ribosomal RNA
Source: RNAcentral
GACGAACGCUGGCGGCGUGCUUAACACAUGCAAGUCGAACGGAAAGGCCUCUUUCGGGGGGUACUCGAGUGGCGAACGGGUGAGUAACACGUGAGUAACCUGCCCUUGACUUUGGGAUAACUUCAGGAAACUGGGGCUAAUACCGGAUAGGAGCUCCUGCUGCAUGGUGGGGGUUGGAAAGUUUCGGCGGUUGGGGAUGGACUCGCGGCUUAUCAGCUUGUUGGUGGGGUAGUGGCUUACCAAGGCUUUGACGGGUAGCCGGCCUGGGAGGGUGACCGGGCACAAUGGGGCUGGGAUACGGCCCAGACUCCUACGGGGGGCAGCAGUGGGGAAUAUUGCACAAUGGGUGGAAGCCUGAUGCAGCAACGCCGGGGGCGGGAUGACGGGCUUCGGGUUGUAAACCGCUUUCGCUCAGGACGAAGCUUUGUGUGACGGUAGUGGGUAAAGAAGCACCGGCUAACUACGUG